Molecule: ribosomal RNA, 338 nt
Filed under: uncultured bacterium
Lineage: Bacteria
Description: bacterial SSU rRNA
Rfam family: Bacterial small subunit ribosomal RNA
Source: RNAcentral
AACGAACGCUGGCGGCGUGCCUAAGACAUGCAAGUCGCGCGAGAAAAGGGCUUCGGCCCCCAGUAGAGCGGCGCACGGGUGAGUAACGCGUGGGUAAGUCUGCCUCCGGGUCCGGGAUAACCUCGGGAAACGUGGGGCUAAUACCGGAUGAGACCACGAGGUCCUCGGGCCUCGCGGGAAAAGGUGGCCUCUUCAUGAAAGCUUUCGCCUGGAGAUGAGCCCGCGUCCCAUUAGCUAGUUGGUGAGGAACGGCUCACCAAGGCUCCGAUGGGUAGCUGGUCUGAGAGGACGACCAGCCACACUGGAACUGAGACACGGUCCAGACUCCUACGGGAGGC